This 1178-nucleotide long non-coding RNA is filed under the name Cyanistes caeruleus (blue tit). Its description in RNAcentral is "lncRNA (ENSCCEG00000018345.1)". Lineage: Eukaryota; Metazoa; Chordata; Aves; Passeriformes; Paridae. The record is from RNAcentral.
GUAGUAUCCAAAGCCCAAUAUUGCAAAUUUAUCAUCUUUGGGAGGCCUCACAUGUUACUGUACAUAGUAACAGGAAAUAGAUCGGUUGAAUGUAAGCAGAAAUGCAAUACACACAAAAAAACCCAACCAAAUAAACCCACCAAGAGACCACUUCAAUAAAUUAAAAAAUAAGAGAACCAAAACCAUCCUAGUGGUUUAAUGUCCACAUCAAUAAAAUUACUUAUGUCUCUUAAAUACAGUUUCUAGUAAAACCUUGGUGAGUAGUUACAGAUAGAAUGUGUUAUUAAUGCAAUCAGAUGGACAGCAGAUCUGAAUUUUAGUCCACAGAACUGCAGAAUAGUUGGGGCUGGUACGGAUUUCUGGAGAUGCUCCAGCCCAGGCCGUGCCCAGCUGGGGCUGCCAUGGCUCCACACAGGGACACUCCAGGCCCUCCCUGGGCAGCUGUUCCAGGCCUCUGCCCCUCCAUGGACACAAGUUCUUCCUCCUGCCGGGCUGCCGCUCGCUGCCCUUUAUUUUAUUCUCGGCAGCGCCCGGCAGAGCCCGGCCCCAUCCUCUGGCAGCCCUCGGAGAUGUUUGUGUGGAUCCACGGGAUCCCCUCCGGGCCUUCCCUUCUCCGGCCUGGCCGGGCCCGGCUCCCGCAGCCUCUGGAGCUGCUGCAGAGCCCAAAUGCUGUGUGCGGCCUCCCCUGGGCCCUGGGCGGCAGCUCCUGGGCUCUGCUGGCCUUUAUUUUAUUAUCGGCAGCGCUCCAGCGUUGGACUAGAUCCUGAAGUAUUUUCAGAGCUUGCUUCAGGAUCCUGACCCCAAGGCAUCUUACCAUCACAUCUGAGAAAUUCUCAUUUCUUGUUUUGCAUGGUCAUACUGCUCUCUGGAAAAAAGGUACCUCCUUCCUUCUUGCUGUUUAUAUUAAAAAACAACAAACAAGAAUAUAAGAUAAUUAGAUAAUUUUUAGGAGUGGUUUUGAUGAGGGAAGUCAUGAUUAGUAUAAUCUCUAAUGUUAACAACUAUUGAGCGUGUGAAAGAUUUUAGCAGAAGGGAGCUGAGUGCCUUGAGAGGUUUUCCUAGCAGGGAGUUCACACCAUUAGAUUUAAUUCAUCCUAUGGAUGUGUGAAUUACAUUUAUUUUUUUCCCUGCUAGUUGGAUAAUAAGGCAAUAAAGCAUUCUGAUGUGUUAAUGUGUCA